RNAcentral lists this ribosomal RNA (453 nucleotides) under Triticum aestivum (bread wheat). Its description in RNAcentral is "partial small subunit ribosomal RNA". The record is from RNAcentral. Lineage: Eukaryota; Viridiplantae; Streptophyta; Magnoliopsida; Poales; Poaceae.
AUGUACAUGUUGACUAAUUCUCAUCUAGAUUUGUUGUUUAUACAUCGUGCAGACAAUAAUGUGCCUUCGUUCCCGGAUAGGAGUACUCUUGCAUCACUUUAUGCCACAGGUCACGCAGAAGGCGGCAGUGCCAGAGAAUCUGCCCGCAAUGAUGUGUGUCUUAAUGCCCUUGGUUGUGGUGGUUCAGAGCUUGUGACAUCGUCUACCCCAACAUGUGAUGUAUACCCAACUCAUUCCCAGACAACAUGUGCUGUUGUGAAUGACCAAGUGAGUUAUAGCAUAACAGAAGACAAAAGGGAGCAGAGAAACGCACGAAGGCGAGCAACUUAUCGAAAGAAAAAGGAUGAACAGGUCAAGCUCCAAAAUGAAAAGCAGACUGUUUCCCGACCCCCUCUUGGUGAUAUCACUAAUAUUGAUCAGCCUUCCGGUUCGAUGCCAGGUACGGGUGUUUAA